Molecule: non-coding RNA, 71 nt
Organism: Phrynosoma platyrhinos (Desert horned lizard)
Lineage: Eukaryota; Metazoa; Chordata; Lepidosauria; Squamata; Phrynosomatidae
Source: the annotation of a GenBank genome assembly
GCCAGUGUGGCAUAGUGGUUUGAGUGUUCGUCUACAACUCUAGAGACCAGGGUCUGAAUCCCUGCCUGGCC